Long non-coding RNA from Gavialis gangeticus (Gharial), 143 nucleotides. RefSeq lists it as uncharacterized. The transcript is spliced from 3 exons. Lineage: Eukaryota; Metazoa; Chordata; Crocodylia; Gavialidae. The record is from RefSeq and is a predicted model, not a curated record.
UGAACACAGUACAGGUUUUCUUCGCUUUAUGCAGGUUCUAUAUAUGCAAAUUUGUUCUUAUGCAAUGACCCAUUUUAUACCCAAAAUUCGUUAUACGCAAGGUAAAUCCACUCUUAUGCCAUCGGCAUAGUGGAAGACCACAA